AUUGAACGCUGGCGGCAUGCCUUACACAUGCAAGUCGAACGGCAGCACGGGAGCAAUCCUGGUGGCGAGUGGCGAACGGGUGAGUAAUAUAUCGGAACGUGCCCAGUCGUGGGGAUAACGUAGCGAAAGCUACGCUAAUACCGCAUACGAUCUAUGGAUGAAAGCGGGGGAUCGCAAGACCUCGCGCGAUUGGAGCGGCCGAUAUCAGAUUAGGUAGUUGGUGAGGUAAAGGCUCACCAAGCCGACGAUCUGUAGCUGGUCUGAGAGGACGACCAGCCACACUGGGACUGAGACACGGCCCAGACUCCUACGGGAGGCAGCAGUGGGGAAUUUUGGACAAUGGGCGCAAGCCUGAUCCAGCAAUGCCGCGUGCAGGAUGAAGGCCUUCGGUUGUAAC
This 397-nucleotide ribosomal RNA is filed under the name uncultured bacterium. RNAcentral describes it as "bacterial SSU rRNA". It matches the Rfam family "Bacterial small subunit ribosomal RNA", at positions 30 to 429 of the family's 1533-position model. The record is from RNAcentral.